GAUUUCAUAUAUUGAUUUCAUAUGGAUCGUGACCAUUUCUUUUGGAUCAUCGGACGACGACUCGGGCGAUUCCUGAGGCUGAAGACAACAACGGCAAGAGGCACUCCAGCGGCGCGAUUAGGGUUUCGCUGUGAACCCUAACAACAGUGGCAGCGGCGCAUUUUAUUCUUGAAGAUUUGAUUUUUUCCAAUGUGCAAUCCAAGUUAAGUUUGUGAAAUUUUAGUCAUAAAAUUAAACAUCAAUUUUGUUAUUAGAGAAGGCUUGCAUUUGGCUUUAUUUCAUGUAUGGAAACAAGCUUUGUGAUGUCAAAGUUCCUUAUCUGAUUCACCAUACAUAUACUAUUUGAAGUGAAAAGCUCCACCUUCAAGAUCGUUCAUAGCAUUCAAAACCUGGUAAGGACCGACAUUGGGUUCAGAUGACUGUGGUAUUGGGCUUUCUCGGCUUCAAUGACGCAGAUACUAGAGAGGCUGCCAGCAUUUGGUGAAUUUAGAUAAUUUAUUUUGUGGACAAAGCCAUCCCGGAAGAACCGAUAGAGUAUAUUUGAAGGUUUUGACUGCGUUGGCAGCUGCUGUGAUCACAUUUGGUUGUGAUAUGUCUGCUUUGGCGGAUCUGAAUAAGUUUGAGGCGAAUUUAUUGGUGAAUUCGGUAUUGGAUUGGCUGCUUAGUUCGGUUCUGCUGCUCUCAGAUGCAGAAGGAACAAAGAACCUAAGUAAUGAUGCGAUUGGGGGUCUUGCCGCUGCUGUACAAAAAUAUAACAUGAGGUCAAAGUAGAGAGGCUGCAAAGAGUGACAUAAUGUGAAUCAGCGAUUGAAAUAGAAGUGAACACAUGACUAUGAUCAACCAAUCGAAUGGAUCACGAUCAAAGAAGGAAUUUCAAGACAGUGUUAUGAAAGCUAAGGAUCCGAACGAAGAGAUGAUCAAGAUACGAAAAGAAAUAGUCGAUUUCAAUGUAAUGCCUCAUUGAAUAUAUUUUGUUACAGUCUUGAGAAUUUGCCAUAUCAUAUUGGAAAUUUUUAAUCAUUAUGCAUUUAUUUUGAUAUCAUUCAAUGGUCAGUUUCACUUGGUUUGUAUGUCACACCAAAAUACAUGUCCAGUUGGUUACAAUAUGAAUGGAUUUAUUUCU
This 1123-nucleotide long non-coding RNA is filed under the name Helianthus annuus (common sunflower). The record is from RNAcentral. Lineage: Eukaryota; Viridiplantae; Streptophyta; Magnoliopsida; Asterales; Asteraceae.